GCUCGUGUCGUGAGAUGUUGGGUUAAGUCCCGCAACGAGCGCAACCCUUGAUCUUAGUUGCCAGCAUUCAGUUGGGCACUCUAAGGUGACUGCCGGUGACAAACCGGAGGAAGGUGGGGAUGACGUCAAAUCAUCAUGCCCCUUAUGACCUGGGCUACACACGUGCUACAAUGGGCAGAACAAAGGGCAGCGAAGCCGCGAGGCUAAGCCAAUCCCACAAAUCUGUUCUCAGUUCGGAUCGCAGUCUGCAACUCGACUGCGUGAAGCUGGAAUCGCUAGUAAUCGCGGAUCAGCA
This 295-nucleotide ribosomal RNA is filed under the name uncultured Bacillus sp. Its description in RNAcentral is "partial 16S ribosomal RNA". It matches the Rfam family "Bacterial small subunit ribosomal RNA", at positions 1058 to 1354 of the family's 1533-position model. The record is from RNAcentral. Lineage: Bacteria; Bacillati; Bacillota; Bacilli; Caryophanales; Bacillaceae.